UACCCGCUGAGUUUAAGCAUAUCAA
This 25-nucleotide ribosomal RNA is filed under the name Thuja plicata (western redcedar). Its description in RNAcentral is "partial 26S ribosomal RNA". Lineage: Eukaryota; Viridiplantae; Streptophyta; Pinopsida; Cupressales; Cupressaceae. RNAcentral also lists the same sequence under 1 other name. The record is from RNAcentral.